UGGGGAAUAUUGCACAAUGGGCGCAAGCCUGAUGCAGCCAUGCCGCGUGUGUGAAGAAGGCCUUCGGGUUGUAAAGCACUUUCAGCGGGGAGGAAGGCGUUAAGGUUAAUAACCUUGGCGAUUGACGUUACCCGCAGAAGAAGCACCGGCUAACUCCGUGCCAGCAGCCGCGGUAAUACGGAGGGUGCAAGCGUUAAUCGGAAUUACUGGGCGUAAAGCGCACGCAGGCGGUCUGUCAAGUCGGAUGUGAAAUCCCCGGGCUCAACCUGGGAACUGCAUUCGAAACUGGCAGGCUAGAGUCUUGUAGAGUGGGGUAGAAUUCCAGGUGUAGCGGUGAAAUGCGUAGAGAUCUGGAGGAAUACCGGUGGCGAAGGCGGCCCCCUGGACAAAGACUGACGCUCAGGUGCGAAAGCGUGGGGAGCAAACAGG
RNAcentral lists this ribosomal RNA (429 nucleotides) under Klebsiella pneumoniae. Its description in RNAcentral is "partial 16S ribosomal RNA". It matches the Rfam family "Bacterial small subunit ribosomal RNA", at positions 355 to 776 of the family's 1533-position model. RNAcentral also lists the same sequence under 1 other name. The record is from RNAcentral. Lineage: Bacteria; Pseudomonadati; Pseudomonadota; Gammaproteobacteria; Enterobacterales; Enterobacteriaceae.